Molecule: ribosomal RNA, 346 nt
Filed under: uncultured fungus
Lineage: Eukaryota; Fungi
Description: SSU rRNA
Rfam family: Eukaryotic small subunit ribosomal RNA
Source: RNAcentral
GUAGUCAUAUGCUUGUCUCAAAGAUUAAGCCAUGCAUGUCUAAGUAUAAGCAAUUAUACCGUGAAACUGCGAAUGGCUCAUUAAAUCAGUUAUCGUUUAUUUGAUAGUACCUUACUACUUGGAUAACCGUGGUAAUUCUAGAGCUAAUACAUGCUGAAAACCCCAACUUCGGGAGGGGUGUAUUUAUUAGAUAAAAAACCAAUGCCCUUCGGGGCUUCUUGGUGAUUCAUGAUAACUUUACGGAUCGCAUGGCCUUGCGCCGGCGACGGUUCAUUCAAAUUUCUGCCCUAUCAACUUUCGAUGGUAAGGUAUUGGCUUACCAUGGUUUCAACGGGUAACGGGGAAU